RNAcentral lists this ribosomal RNA (522 nucleotides) under fungal endophyte sp. P725F. RNAcentral describes it as "eukaryotic LSU rRNA". The stretch from base 157 to 310 matches the Rfam family "5.8S ribosomal RNA". Lineage: Eukaryota; Fungi. The record is from RNAcentral.
ACCUGCGGAAGGAUCGUUACCGAGUUCUCGGGCUUCGGCUCGACUCUCCCACCCUUUGUGAACGUACCUCUGUUGCUUUGGCGGCUCCGGCCGCCAAAGGACCUUCAAACUCCAGUCAGUAAACGCAGACGUCUGAUAAACAAGUUAAUAAACUAAAACUUUCAACAACGGAUCUCUUGGUUCUGGCAUCGAUGAAGAACGCAGCGAAAUGCGAUAAGUAAUGUGAAUUGCAGAAUUCAGUGAAUCAUCGAAUCUUUGAACGCACAUUGCGCCCCUUGGUAUUCCGGGGGGCAUGCCUGUUCGAGCGUCAUUACAACCCUCAAGCUCUGCUUGGAAUUGGGCACCGUCCUCAUUGCGGACGCGCCUCAAAGACCUCGGCGGUGGCUGUUCAGCCCUCAAGCGUAGUAGAAUACACCUCGCUUUGGAGCGGUUGGCGUCGCCCGCCGGACGAACCUUCUGAACUUUUCUCAAGGUUGACCUCGGAUCAGGUAGGGAUACCCGCUGAACUUAAGCAUAUCAAUA